Long non-coding RNA from Bactrocera tryoni, 818 nucleotides. RefSeq lists it as uncharacterized. The transcript is spliced from 3 exons. The record is from RefSeq and is a predicted model, not a curated record. Lineage: Eukaryota; Metazoa; Arthropoda; Insecta; Diptera; Tephritidae.
AUUCUGCAUUUCUACUCGAAUCGAAAUUUUCUCCGAUUGGCAACUUUGGUAUUCUGCGUUUCGAUUCAACUUCGAAAAUUCCAAUUCUAUGUAUUCUGCAUUGCGAUCGUAAUUACGUUUUUGUACGUUGAAGUUUUGUUGGCGGAAAGCCGUUAUAUAUUCAUUUUCGUGCAUUUGGAUAAAAUAAUUUCCUCAAAUAUGUCAAAAGUAACAACGGCAGAGCAAUACGAAAAAUUGUGUGAUAUGAUGGCCACGAAAAGAGAUAUUGCGCACGGCUUCCAAAAGCGACCGAAGGAAGAAGUACAGGAGUUUUAAUAGGAGGUUGCAAGGAAUUUAAAUGCACUUGGCUCACCAACAAAAGAUUCCAAUACAUGGAGAAAGGUGAUAGCUUUGACGGGUUUGGAAACGGAUGAUAUCCCUUCAACCAGUAGAGCUAGCAGCCAAAAUAGAGAGGCGAGGGCAGACAAGCAGAGCACUUCUUCAUUACUUAAGCAACAGAUACAAAUCAAAAAGAAUUUUAUGCAGAGACGAAAAAAUUCAAUGAAGCUGCCUUUGGUAAAAUGGAAGAAGUUACUUCAUAUUUACGACACAUGAAUCGUUCUCUAGAAACUUUGGCGGAGACUGCAGUGAAGCAACCUGAAGAACAGAAGCGACACAAUAGAAUUAAGGAAGAGCUGGUGAAGGAAAAAGUAGAAAUAAAAAUGCAAAUGCUAAGAUUAGGUCCAAAUUAUAAGCCGGAUUCAAAGUAGUCAUUUUUUAAUUGUUAGCCUUUUAUUUAUUUUACUAUUAUUCAUUUAUAUAACGAGCUGUGAAAUGAA